CAAACUUGGUCAUUUANAGGAAGUAAAAGUCGUAACAAGG
RNAcentral lists this ribosomal RNA (40 nucleotides) under Glomus sp. 2-Mutompo. RNAcentral's name for it is "partial 5.8S ribosomal RNA". Lineage: Eukaryota; Fungi; Glomeromycota; Glomeromycetes; Glomerales; Glomeraceae. The record is from RNAcentral.